This 911-nucleotide ribosomal RNA is filed under the name uncultured Bacillota bacterium. RNAcentral describes it as "bacterial SSU rRNA". It matches the Rfam family "Bacterial small subunit ribosomal RNA", at positions 1 to 908 of the family's 1533-position model. Lineage: Bacteria; Bacillati; Bacillota. The record is from RNAcentral.
UGGAUCCAGACUUUGAUCCUGGCUCAGGACGAACGCUGGCGGCGUGCCUAACACAUGCAAGUCGAACGAAGCUUGACGGUAGAUUUCUUCGGAAUGAAGCCUGAUAUGACUUAGUGGCGGACGGGUGAGUAACACGUGAGCAACCUGCCUUUCAGAGAGGAAUAACGGCUGGAAUCGGUCGCUAAUACCUCAUAAUGUAUAUUUAAGGCAUCUUAGAUAUACCAAAGAUUUAUCGCUGAAAGAUGGGCUCGCGUCUGAUUAGAUAGUUGGUGAGGUAAUGGCUCACCAAGUCGACGAUCAGUAGCCGGACUGAGAGGUUGAACGGCCACAUUGGGACUGAGACACGGCCCAGACUCCUACGGGAGGCAGCAGUGGGGAAUAUUGCACAAUGGGCGCAAGCCUGAUGCAGCAACGCCGCGUGAGGGAAGACGGUUUUCGGAUUGUAAACCUUUGUCUUUGGUGAAGAAGAAAGUGACGGUAACCAAGGAGGAAGCCACGGCUAACUACGUGCCAGCAGCCGCGGUAAUACGUAGGUGGCAAGCGUUGUCCGGAAUUACUGGGUGUAAAGGGAGCGCAGGCGGGACUGCAAGUUGGAUGUGAAAUACCGAGGCUCAACCUCGGGGCUGCAUCCAAAACUGUAGUUCUUGAGUGAAGUAGAGGUAGGCGGAAUUCCGAGUGUAGCGGUGAAAUGCGUAGAUAUUCGGAGGAACACCAGUGGCGAAGGCGGCCUACUGGGCUUUAACUGACGCUGAGGCUCGAAAGUGUGGGGAGCAAACAGGAUUAGAUACCCUGGUAGUCCACACUGUAAACGAUGAUAGCUAGGUGUGGGGGGUCUGACCCCUUCCGUGCCGGAGUUAACGCAAUAAGCUAUCCACCUGGGGAGUACGGCCGCAAGGUUGCAACUCAAAUGA